UACUAGCUAUGCAGUAACUUCUUUUCACUCAAUAAGCUGCCAUGAUCUCCUCCACUCCACCUUUUCUUUUCUUCUCCUUCUCCUUCUCCAAUUUGAUGUGCAUGCAUGUGAUGGUAAUGUUGCAUUUGCAUCAAUAAUUUCAUACUAAUUUUAUCACCAAUGUCAUAUUUUAGAAAUUUGAAAAUAGAGUGCUUGAGUUAUCCUUGAUUUUGCAUAGUUGAAGACGGUGAAGGUUGGCAAGGAAAAAUAAAUAGUGCAAUCAGAUAAACUCUCAUAUGGAUCAGUCAAGUUCAGGUACUUACGUUCUCUUCAACCAUAAUUAAAAUCCUUAUGAAAUUAUUUUUUUUCUUGUUAAUUCAUUCUAUCUUAGCAAAAUUAAAAAAAGAUUGGAAAUCUGUCAAGAUUACCGUGUGACCACCCCAACCAGACUGGGCUGGCUGAGAACGAUCAUCUACAGUCAACUUAUGAUGAUUCCCGUAGGUCUCACCAUAGAACCGUUAAUCACGCUCUGAUCACACGGUCACAAAUCCUCAUCCAGAUUUAUGUUCCUGUCUCCUUAGAAAUCAAG
Medicago truncatula (barrel medic) is the source of this 568-nucleotide long non-coding RNA. RefSeq lists it as uncharacterized. The record is from RefSeq and is a predicted model, not a curated record. NCBI's taxonomy places the organism in Eukaryota, Viridiplantae, Streptophyta, Magnoliopsida, Fabales, Fabaceae. The transcript is spliced from 2 exons.